Notothenia coriiceps (black rockcod) is the source of this 1220-nucleotide long non-coding RNA. RefSeq lists it as uncharacterized. The record is from RefSeq and is a predicted model, not a curated record. The transcript has 2 exons. NCBI's taxonomy places the organism in Eukaryota, Metazoa, Chordata, Actinopteri, Perciformes, Nototheniidae.
UUCAUAAUGACACAUUUAUUUAUUUCAAGAGACUUGUAUUUCAUAAUGACACAUUUCCAUUCCUUAUAUGCAAAUGAACGGGGCGUGGUUAGCUCACAGAUCCAGAGACCCAGACCAAAGCAACAGCACCACAACACUGACUACUCGAGAAGAGGAAGAAAAUGGAGGAGAAGGACUAUAAGGCAAACUACUAAAUGAAAAUAAGGCGGGGCAGACAACAUGGAAGACGUCGGUGGGCUCCAAGAUGCUAUGCUAUCCUUAGCAGAUCAAAUUGAUCAACACGGUUUACCAACAGAUACUGUGUUGGCCCAUAUUGAAGACUUUAUCGAAGUACUCGGGCGGAUAAGCGCUCUUCGAGAUAUCGACACGGAUGACGAAGUUGUAAAUACUUUGACACUGAUUGAGCACCGUGUUCGUGUGGAAGAUGUCCAAGAAGUUGGUUCAAGCACAGGUGCAGGACGCCCGCCUCUGGAUAUUCCAGGCGAUAUGCUUGCUACCUAUGUGCUGUCCGGUCUAUCAACCCGGCGGUUGGCUGCCUCUCUCAAUAAUUCGGAGAGGCUUUUCUCAGUCAGACAUAGCAUGUAAUAUGAUACUCUAAAUGUCACCCGCCAGAAAUGUUCGCUUCUUCUUCUUCGGUGUAAAUUGUCCGUUGGCAAACCAGUUGACUUCUUCUUCUCUGGGUUUUUUGGCGGAUUGCAAACAACUUUAAGGUGCAUACCGCCACCUACUGUACAUGAGUGUGAAUCAUCAUAUCAUUCCAUCUCUUAACUCAUGGACAUAUCUAUGAUCUAAUCCAAAAAUAAAUAAAUAAGAAACAUAAUAAAUAAAACAAAACAACAAUCUAUGAUCUUUCCUGACCUAAUGUUAGAUAAUUUUACCUACCCCAGUUUCACUAAAGGUAAACAGUGCCUUUCUUGUAGCUCUUUCUCCCUCUCCUUUUGUUCCCAAAAUACCAACCACACUCCAUUCCCUCUCUGCCUCUAAAACGUUAUCCUUUAGUUUUUCUCUUUCAGCUUUAUAGAUGUUCCACAUUUUCUUUAACUGCUGUGUGAUUUAUUCUGAGUCUAGCUAUCAUAAUUUCCUCCCUUCUGUUUCUUUCUUUAUAAAUAUUUGUCUGCUGGCAUACCAGCAGACCAGCAUUUAUCUAUCACCAGCUUAUGUUAGUAUUAAAUAUACAAUGUAUUCUGGUAACUAUCAAAAUAAAGACAUUGUAUAGUGUU